CCAGCAGCCGCGGUAACUCCAGCUCCAAUAGCGUAUAUUAAAGUCGCUGCAGUUAAAAAGCUCGUAGUUGGAUCUCGGUAUUAUUGUUGCCUGCUGGCUUUAGAGGCACUAGCUGGCCUAGCGGUGCAUGGGUGAGCCUGUGCAGCGUGGGGUCGGCGGCCUUGGGUCGGCGUGGCGGCGGUGAUACCUUUCAGCCAUGUCUGUGGUGCAAUAUCCACAGGUGUAGGCGAGUGCCAGGCGGUGCCCUGCAACUGUGGGGUUCGUCGGCUUGUCUGCAUGCCUACGGAUGCCCUUUAAAAGGUGUCUGUGGGCGGAUGGCACGUUUACUUUGAACAAAUUUGAGUGCUCAAACCAGGCCGAUGCUGCCUGAAAAGUUUUGCAUGGAAUAAUGGAAUAGGACUUCGGUUCUAUUUCGUUGGUUUUCGGAUCCGAAGUAAUGAUCAAAAGAGACAGGCGGGGG
Molecule: ribosomal RNA, 460 nt
Filed under: Schyzocotyle acheilognathi
Lineage: Eukaryota; Metazoa; Platyhelminthes; Cestoda; Bothriocephalidea; Bothriocephalidae
Description: SSU rRNA
Rfam family: Eukaryotic small subunit ribosomal RNA
Source: RNAcentral